UGGGGAAUUUUGGACAAUGGGCGAAAGCCUGAUCCAGCAAUGCCGCGUGUGUGAAGAAGGCCUUCGGGUUGUAAAGCACUUUUGUCCGGAAAGAAAUCCUUGGCCCUAAUACAGUCGGGGGAUGACGGUACCGGAAGAAUAAGCACCGGCUAACUACGUGCCAGCAGCCGCGGUAAUACGUAGGGUGCAAGCGUUAAUCGGAAUUACUGGGCGUAAAGCGUGCGCAGGCGGUUUGCUAAGACCGAUGUGAAAUCCCCGGGCUCAACCUGGGAACUGCAUUGGUGACUGGGCAGGCUAGAGUAUGGGCAGAGGGGGGUAGAAUUCCACGUGUAGCAGUGAAAUGCGUAGAGAUGUGGAGGAAUACCGAUGGCGAAGGCAGCCCCCCUGGGCCAAUACUGACGCUCAUGCACGAAAGCGUGGGGGAGCAAAACAGGAUUAGAUACCCUGGUAGUCCACGCCCUAAAACGAUGUCAACUAGUUGUUGGGGAUUCAUUUCCUUAGUAACGUAGCUAACGCGUGAAGUUGACCGCCUGGGGGAGUACGGUCGCAAGAUUAAAACUUAAAGGAAUUGACGGGGUCAUAGCUGUUUCCU
This 592-nucleotide ribosomal RNA is filed under the name uncultured bacterium. RNAcentral's name for it is "partial 16S ribosomal RNA". It matches the Rfam family "Bacterial small subunit ribosomal RNA", at positions 355 to 1375 of the family's 1533-position model. The record is from RNAcentral.